UGCACCAGUCACUGAGCGCCGGCGACGACAGCGUGCCGGCUGCCGUGGCUCGGCGGCGGGCGAGCGCGAAAGUGAGGCCCCAUUGGGUGAAAGCGAAAGCAGCAUGGUGGGGGUCACGGCUAGCGCGCCAAUCGAUGCGCGCCGUUGUCGUCCCUCCGACGGGCGCACGCUACCUCUCUAUGUUUCUUUCCUUCUCUGACUGUUAUGUCUAUCCAGCUCACACUCACACCGGCGCUGCAUAUACGAGCGCGCGUUUUACUUUUCGAAGCCGGCGAGGAGGCUUGCGAAUAAUCCUCGAUAUGCGUGUGUGCGUAUAUAGAGGAAUAUAUGUGUGAUACUACAGGGUUUCGACGUAUCUUUCGAACUUAUGAACAAAUCUUAAUGAGAUAAUACUCUAUAAAUUAAAAAUUGAUUUUUUUACCGAAUUCAAAUUUCAUCAUAAAGGGAAAGUAGAUUGAACGAUUUGAAAGGAAACACUAGAGACACGGAAACUUGUGGAAUUAACAUAGUUAGAAAUGGCGAUCGUGAAUCAAGGGAACAAAUAUAGUGUUGAAUUCCUCCUUUUUUUUUAUGCCUUUAUGGUACGGUUUCGUAUCGACCGUAUGAGAACAUUUCAAUCUCGUUACAUCGUGUCACAUAAAAAACCUUUCAGUGUCGAGUAUGGUGUACCGUUGAAAGUUUUCGUGAGUUUCUCUGUCGGUUCGUUUUAACUAUUUUCGAUGUAAUUAUUUUUCGACCAAGAACAGAGAACGUUCUAAAAAUGUUUCUUCGAAAUGUAUCGCGUGUUUUUGCGGUCAGUAAAUAUGGUGCUCGGGUGACAGUAUACACUACGUUCACUACAGUUCUUUUUUCACGAAUGUAACUUUUGUCGUGUGUACCUUUGCUUCGAGGGAUCACAGGGUAUGAAACAGCUCUGUGCUUCACAAGGUGUAAAUAUUUACGUCUCUGGCCCUUGGGUAUAUUACAUCGAAAUUCUAGAGAAAACGGUCGUUUGUUCUUUUUGCGUCGCAAAUUGAACCUAUGCGACAAUUUGUGUAUUUUUGCAACGUGGCUUUUUACGCAGUUCGUAUCUUAAUAUUGUAUGCUACAUAAAUUUCAAUGAUAUAUCGAGUAAUAUUCAUUUGUGACGCAAUCAUAAGUGUUUUUCAAUAUUAUGUUUGUGUGGAUGCGUUUGUGUUGUUUGUGACAUCGAUGUCGACAUUCAAGUGAAAGUACAUUUAGAGACUAAUUCGGCCAUAUUGAAUUUUAAUCGAAACCGUUAUUUCAAAUGUGCUAUGUAUCUGAUUCAUAUUUUGAAUAUUUUCCGUAUCGUUUUUGAAUCAUUUUAUUCAUUUUUGAAAAAGAAUUCAACCAUUUUUUCAUUUUAAUCAAGAUUGACAGAUGCCGAUGACAUGUAUAUGUAAAAUUUCUUGGAAGGCUCACCCGAUACGCGUCUCGGCGAGAGAGCAGCCGCGUCAUCGAAUUUCAAUCGGGCCAUGGAAUCGAACAGUUUCGUCAGAUGCUUGGCCACCACCUCGGGCUGAUUUCCAUUCGACAGGAUGUCCAACAGAUCGCUGGACGAAACGAAGUAGAACCUCGGGAACGCCAAACGUUUCGUCUCCAAGUAUUCGGCCAACGCUUUCUCGCAGAGGACCAAUUCCUUUUCGAGGAUGUCCAGGGAGGACGCAAGCCCAUCUUUAUUCGUCGCUUCGAUUACGUUCAACGUCCUCCCCAGUUCCUCCGUCAUUUGCUUGAACUCCUUGUCGAUCCUGUCGAAUCUCUCGGCAUCCGUGGGCAAUUGCCUGCGUAUAUCCUCGGACGAGGUGAAGAUACUCUCCAGAUGCGUCCAAGUUCGUUGCACCUCGAACCAUAUCGUGGUCACUUGAUCCGCGAUGCUCAACUUCCGCUGCCAACUGGACACCUCUUCCAGAAAAUGGGCUAUGAACUUGGAGAGUUUCGAUCAGUUCCUCGCUGGCUCUUAUCAAGGUGGCGCCGGUUCGAGCGUGAAUUUCUUUCUCGAACUCCAUUUUCGACCAGGUGGCGUUCAAUUCCUUCAUGUACCUCUCCAUUGACAUCUCCUUCACGGCUUUGUCAACGAUGUUCUUCACUUCCUCCUCGCAGUCGUGCAGAUUCAGCUCGAGAAGAUCGGCCAAUGUGGUAGACUCGUCCAUGACGAAUUUUACCUUAAGCACACUCUUCGUUGGCUAUUCACGUUUCUUUUGUCGUUCGAAAGCUCGAAGUGUUGAGUGAACGAGUUUGAAAAAA
This is a long non-coding RNA of Apis dorsata (giant honeybee), 2244 nucleotides long. RefSeq lists it as uncharacterized. The record is from RefSeq and is a predicted model, not a curated record. The transcript has 4 exons. NCBI's taxonomy places the organism in Eukaryota, Metazoa, Arthropoda, Insecta, Hymenoptera, Apidae.